CCAGGCGUGAGUCUGACCAUGCACGAUGGCGGAAGCCUUGGUGACGGGCGCCUGCGGAGGAACGAUGGUAGCGAUGGCAGCUGCGGAAGGGCCGGCUUGCUUGACUCCGGGCCAGCGCAUCUCCAACUACUGGCCCCUGGAGCCCCAGGCGUUGGGCCUCAGCCCUGCCUGGCGGCUGACAGGCUUCUCCGGCAUGAAGGGCUGAGACUGCAAGGUCCCGCAGGAGACGCUGCUCAAACUACUGGCGGGACUGACGGGGCCGGACGUGCGGCCCCUACUGAGCAGGGGCCUGGUGGGCGGUCAGGAAGAGGUGUCCCAGGAAACCGGAGCGGGCCCCAGCCCCACUUUUCCAGCCCUGGGCAUCGGGAUGGACUCCUGCAUCGUUGCCCUGAGGCAUGGGGGCCUGUCGCUGGUGCAGACCACGGACUUCUUUUACCCCUUGGUGGAAGAUCCCCACGUGAUGGGGCACAUAGCUUGUGCCAACAUGCUGAGUGACCUCUAUGCCAUGGGCCUUACUGAGUGUGACAACAUGUUGAUGUUACUCAGUGUCAGCCAGAGUAUGAGUGAGGAGGAACACGAAAAGGUAACGCCACUCACGGUCAAAGGCUUUCGGGAUGCGGCUGAGGAAGGAGGGACUGCAGUGACUGGUGGGCAAACGGUGCUCAACCCUUGGAUUAUAAUCGGUGGAGUUGCUACUGUGGUAUGCCAGCCAAAUGAAUUCAUAAUGCCCGACAGCGUGAUGGUUGGGUAUGUGCUGGUUAAUGGGGAUGUGCUGGUGUUAACCAAACCGUUAGGAACCCAGGUUGCUGUCAAUGCCCACCAAUGGCUGAAUAAUCCUAAAAGAUGGAAUAAAGUAAAGAUGGUGGUCUCCGGAGAAGAGGUAGAGCUGGCCUAACAGGAAGCCAUGUUCAAUAUGGCUACCCUCAACAGAACUGCUGCAGGUUUAAUGCACACAUUUAAUGCCCAUGCGGCCACAGAUAUCACAAGCUUUGGCAUUCUAGAACACUCCCAGAAACCUUGCGAAACAACAAAGAAACAAAGUGUCCUUUGUUACUCAUAAUCUGCCAAUAAUUGCCAAGAUGGCUGCCGCCAACAAGGCCAGUGGACAGUUUGGGCUUCUUCAAGGAACCUCAGCUGAAACCUCUGGAGAUUACUAAUUUGUCUGCCUAGAGAACAGGCAGCUCACUUUUGUUCCGUAAUCAAAUCCUCCAAAUAUGGAGAGAGUCACCAAGCGUGGAUCACUGGCAUUGUGGAAAAGGGAAACGGAACGGCCCAGAUCAUUGACAGGCCGCGAGUUAUUGAACUCCUACCUCGUGGGGCCACAGCUGCUGCUCUUGCUCCUGACAAUUCAAAUGCCUCCUCUGAGCCUUGCUCGUGAGAUGAAAGAACAGAAGCUGUUUGGACCGUAGAGCUGUUGUACACAAUCAUGGCUGGUUCUCAAGAGUUGAUUUUAAGAAAUUUCCAAAGAAGGCUGCCUGCAUAGUGGUUCCAGCUGCCCUUUCUAGGUAACUGGAAUCAGCCCAUCAAAAGCAGCCUUUAUGUACAUUCCGAGGCCAGAGUAAUAUUUUGAACUUUGUGGGGGAUGUUUGUUCAUCACUUGGGUAGAGGAGGAGCAGAAAUAUCUGUUUUCUCUUUCCAAAGUGAGGCUAUUCCAGGUUGAGGGAUUUUUCUUUGCACUGGGUUAAUUUCUGUACAGGGAUUGAGUUGAUUUAUUAAAACCACACACACAAAUUGCAAAAUGAAAAAAUUUAGAUCAGAAGCAAAUGAGUUUUCGACCAAUACUGUUGAUAAAUCUAAAUUGUUGAGAGAUCUUAUAAUGCAACCUCAAAUUCUUUAUUAGACUUUACUGAGUACUGGCUCUUUCCUGCUCUGGACAAGAACUGAGCAGCUUGUCAUGACUGGAAAAGGAGGACCUGCAACCAUCUGGCUUGGUCUCUGUUAAUGACGUCUCUCCCUCUAAACCCCAUUAAGGACUGGGAGAGGCAGAGCAAGCCUCAGAGCCCAGGCCUAGGUGUACUUAUUAAGAUGUUAAGCUGUUUGCUGCAGAUU
Molecule: non-coding RNA, 2049 nt
Organism: Callithrix jacchus (white-tufted-ear marmoset)
Lineage: Eukaryota; Metazoa; Chordata; Mammalia; Primates; Cebidae
Source: RefSeq, a predicted model, not a curated record